RNAcentral lists this ribosomal RNA (496 nucleotides) under uncultured bacterium. RNAcentral's name for it is "partial 16S ribosomal RNA". It matches the Rfam family "Bacterial small subunit ribosomal RNA", at positions 30 to 523 of the family's 1533-position model. The record is from RNAcentral.
AUUGAACGCUGGCGGAAUGCUUUACACAUGCAAGUCGAACGGUAGAGGGGGCAACCCCUCGAGAGUGGCGAACGGGUGAGUAAUAUAUCGGAACGUGCCCAGUCGUGGGGGAUAACGUAGCGAAAGUUACGCUAAUACCGCAUACGAUCUAAGGAUGAAAGCGGGGGAUCGCAAGACCUCGCGCGAUUGGAGCGGCCGAUAUCAGAUUAGGUAGUUGGUGGGGUAAAGGCUCACCAAGCCAACGAUCUGUAGCUGGUCUGAGAGGACGACCAGCCACACUGGAACUGAGACACGGUCCAGACUCCUACGGGAGGCAGCAGUGGGGAAUUUUGGACAAUGGACGCAAGUCUGAUUCAGCCAUUCCGCGUGCAGGAUGAAGGCCCUCGGGUUGUAAACUGCUUUCGUACGGAACGAAAAGGUCUCUCUUAAUACGGGGGGCUCAUGACGGUACCGUAAGAAUAAGCACCGGCUAACUACGUGCCAGCAGCCGCAGUAA